GUUCGAUUGUUUGGGUUUUUGUGGUUUUCGUUUCCUUUGCUCUCUCUCCCUGUUACCUCUGUUGGUUUCUGUAGCUGGUGUUCUUUGUUCUCUCAUGUUCUAUCUUGCUCUUCUAUCAAUUUAAAGUUUUCCGGUGAGUUAUUCAAAACUUGCAUGUGGGAGGGGUUUUUUUUUUUUUUUCUUUCCAAAUCGAUGGGUUUUAUUAUCUUCAAUUUUAGAUGUUAAGAAUUGAUUGUUUAUUUUGGUUAGAUAUUUUAUUAACCUUUGUUAUGUGUUCUGAUCAAGGAUUGAAUUGGGUUUUGGAGUUUUAAUUUGAUGAUUUUUUUUAUUCAAAUGUUUAGUUGCAGAAAUUUUAAAUUAGUUUGUGUUCUGGGUUUCAGAUUUGGCGAAAUAUUUUAUUGGCCUGUGUUAUGUGUUCUGAUGAAGGUUUGAACACAGAAAAACAACCACACAGGCCUUGGCCUUUUGCAUUGAGUAUUUUGCUUCUUCUUUUUUUUGGUGCUGUGGUUGUUUGUUUUUUAUUUCAGGAAAUGUUGCUGAUCGAAUUUUAAGGUUUUGUAUAGAAGCUUGCAAGCCCUUUUUUAUUUCGUUUGCAUAUCUAUUUUAUAAUAAUAAUAUUAAUUAAUUUUUGGGGUUUUGUUUCUGUGUUUGGAUUUUUAGUGUGGGUAUAUGAUUUGGUUUUUUAUUUUAUUUUGAGGAAGCAAUGGUCAUCGUUUUUUGCCGCUUUUAUGUGUAGGGUUCCAGCUUCCAGGUGCUUGAGGUUCCUCUCUCUCUCUCUCUCACUUUUUUUAUUCAAAUCAUGAUCGAAUUUCAUUUAUAUGAAUGUUGGAUCUAUAAUCUAUUGCUUUCAACAAAUUGUGCACUUUGUUUACUUCGAUUAAUUUUUUGUGGUUUGAUUUGGUGAAUUUUUGGGAAAAUCCAAGUUCAAUCCCAUUCUGUUUGCAGCAUGCCAGCGAUGAUUUAAAACAUUUUAUGAUGGACAAUCAAUUGGAAACAGCUUCAAAUGGGAAGUUUUCACAAGGGACGCAUGUAAGUGGGGUUAUGCCUGAUGCCAAUGGAGAAUGCUUUUUGAAAUUUCAUUAAGGGAAAUUUUGGGUUUUAUUGAAGAAAUUUUAAACCCAGAAAGCUUGGGUUUCCUGGUGGACUAUGUCAUUUGAGAAACUAUGUACUCAAACGCUCUCAACGAAUACCCUUUUUCUCCCUCUCUCGCAUGAUAAUUGAUGCGGAGUUCCAGACCCAGAGAAGGUGAAAAUCUAGACUUCCCAAACUUGGCCUCCCUUCUCGACUGUGGAGUAUCAACCGGUACACUUGAGCUUCCCAAACUAUGUUGAAAUAUUUGAGAAAUGCUAAGUAAACAAAAGAGAAAAGGAAUUUUAGAGAGAGUGAUAUAAUAGUUGUUAUGUAAUUGUAUGAAUGAAUUAACUAUUCAACAGAGAGAGAGAGUUAAGAAUUUAUACAACAACUAAUCACCUUGCUUAGCUCUCAUGGCACAUACUUAACAGACUAACAAACACUAACAAUCUCUAAACUGAUCUAUUGAGCUGGACCAUUAACCUCUGUUUAUAUCCCAGCCACUCAUUUUUCGACACUUAUCACUAUUUGCAAAAUCUAGAGUUGAAGAAACCCUAUUCUUAAUGAAUAUUAUUUUUUAUUGAUAAUUAAUUGAUGAUUAAUCUAUUCCAUUAUUAUUAUUUUACCGCCAAAUACUUUGAAUAUUCAUUAGCAAAUGAUAUAGGGUUAACUAUUUAAUGAAUACAAUUUUGAUGGUUGAUUGCAUUUCGUCAGUUAUAAAUAUGGUGAAUCCAUUAUUCAAUACUGGCUGAAUAAUCACAAUGCUUUGGCCACUUAUCUUGAAUUCUGUUCAAAUUGAUGAAGUCGCAUGUUUCUUAAAUGGAAACCUGUGUUCUUUGAAUUUGGCUUUUACAAUUGAAGUCAAAUUGACUCUGGCUUGAGCGACAUUUGUAAAUCAGGUGUUCUGAAAAUUACUUUACACACCAUGACCUGCAUUUCUAACUGUUUACUGGUCUAUACUUUAGAGAUAGUGUACAUCAUUUUACUUUUUGUUGUGCAUGUGACUGUGAUCUUGAAUAUUUGAUAUUCUUUGAGAUUUUCAGCAUCCAGGUUUCGAAAAUUCUGAACUUUAUUCUUUUGUUUUUCUUCCUGUUUGAUCAAGAAUUGAGCCAUGGUCCUUUAAACAACAUUUGGGGCAAGCUGUUUUUAUCCCUGCUGGAUGCCCUUUUCACAUCAGGAAUCUUCAAGUAGUUUUCUUUGUAGCUAAAUUAAUAUUUUUGAAGUACCAACUCCGGGUUAUUUAAUGAAAAUGUGAACGGUUUAGAUUGACUAGACAAGUAAUUUAUUUAAAGCAUGUAAUUGUACUUGCAUGUGUAUUAGUUUUAUUUCUUGGUCGUUCAAGGACGUCACAUAGCAAAAGUUAAGUCAUCUAAUACUACAAUGUACAUACAAUACAGAAAGAAGUCUUAAUAUUGGAUGACUUAACAUUCUCUGUUUUUUAUUUUUUAGUUUUUAUUAACCCUGUAUCUUAAAAAAUAGUUAUUUUUGAGUUUUGUAGGCUACUUUUAUCAAUUGUCAAAUGUGACUCAAAAACUAAUCCAAAAGCUUUAAAAAAACUUACUGUUUGAUAAUUUCCUUUCCGAAAUUCUAAUUAUGUUUAAACUUUUGUCAGUCAUUACAUUUUUUGCAAGAACUCUAAAUUCACAUUGUAUUUCAAUAAAUUUUAGACGCUUUGUCUACGCUCUUAAAUUUUUUUACUACAAUGUGUUAAAUAUUUUUAAUUACUAAAUCAAAUUCUCGCUAUUCCAUUUAGUAGAAAAAAAAAAAAACAUUCCAGCAUUAUUCUUAUCAUUCGCAGAUGUGUGCUUCUCAAGCUUUGUUCUAUACAAAUUUUAAUGCACUUAACACUUACUUCAGGAUCAUUGGCAUUGAUCAAAUAAGGUGACCAAAUUCUUAUUAUUGAUCAUUCAAUACCUUCUUUCUUUGCUAAGUUUUUUUCACCCCUCUUAAACUUAUUAACUUUGAUAUGCUUCAAGUUAUUCCUUGGUAUAGAACCUGCCUCAUCUGCUUUCGAAAUAAUCAGAUUUUCUUUUACAUGAUUAUGUGAAUGAUUGAAUUUUUGAAAGAAAUUGAUUUAAAUUUUGUUUUCAUAUUUAGGCGGGCAAGAGAAAAGGAAUUGACAAAGUAGAAAGCUUUAGAGAAAGCUAGAAAGCUUCAGGUAAAAAAAUUGCAUGUUGCAAAGGAAAAACCACCCCAGCGCACACUCGGAAAUAGCUAGAGGUAUUGGUAAACCUCACUUUGUAUAUACAUGCUUUACAAUUCGUGGAAAUCCACAUGACUCCUGAAAAUGAUAGUAGCAAAUAUGAGGUAAAGGGACUUAAUAUUUUAUUAACAUGCUUCUUGCGAUUUUGGAGUUAUGCCAGGAUGGGUAGUUUACCCUUGGGUGUGGGUUGAUGAUUGUACACACAUUACAUUUAUGUUACGAUAAUUAUAAAUAACAUCUUGUUUCGUGGAUGAAUUUAUUUCUACUGUUCAUUUAGACAUUGAAGCUGAUGCAACUCUAAAAUUAACUUCUUGAUAGACUAGAAGUAGAUAUCUGUUUUUUAUUCUCCACACUUCUGUCUAACUUCUUCUUGAGUGAUAGUUUAGUUAAUUUCUUUUUACUUUCUUGCAAGUUUGAUGGGAAUUUUUAGCUAUCUGCAAUAAUGAGAAUGCAAAGUAAUAGGUUUGUCAUCUUUUGAUUUAUAUUAAUUUUUUAUUAUUUUGUAGAUUAAUAAUUAUGCGAUUGAUUAUAUUUUAUUGUGUUAAUGUGUAGUGUAGAUAAUUUUAGCCAACAUUAUAGAAUCCAUUUUCUGUUGAAAAAUUUGAAUGUUCUGUGAUGGAAAAGGUUAUGAUAAACUGCAAGGUAGAAAUUCUGUUAUGAGUUCUUCAACUAAUUUGGAGCAUGUUUCUUUACGAUGUUUAAUUUCAUCUGGAAACAAAUAGUGUUUAGAAUCACCAAGUGGUACAAAAAAGUAUUUUAAAUUGUUUUUUAACCAAUCUAUUGCCAACUUUUCCAACGGGUUUCUUAUUUUAUUCUCCAUUAUUUUGCAAGAAACCAAAGCCUUUCCAUGCUCGAGGGUUAUUGUGUGCGUAAGAAUUAAUCUGUUUUGUUUGAUCAUUAUGUUACAAUACUAUAUGUGGUUGCAAAUUUGAAAAAUGUAGGGAGACAGAUCAGUUAUGAACAAAUUAGCAUGGUUCAUCCUAAUGAUAUAUAAGUUAGGUGGCUGAUUUGUUUCCUCAUUUCUUCAUUGGUGAUUUGUGUUUUCAGUGACUUUCCAUUCGUGGGUAAUAAGUUUUUGUCAAGAGUUAAUGUGUUCAGUUCUUUUUCUUUUUUAAUUUCUGUUAUGUGUGGUUCUGUGUCAUGUGGUUGGAGUGUGAUGUGAUUAAAGGUUCCAAAAGAGAAACAUUACUUCUUUUAUUUGGUCAGAGGAGGGGGGAGGAAGUUCUGUUCAAUUUUGGUUUUUCCAAUGGCUUAGGAAGAAAUUAUGUCACUAUUGAUAUUGCAGGUGGACAACUUGCAGAAAUUACAAGGUAUGCUACAAUCUGUACUUCUUCGGUAGAUUUGAUUCAAAUUGAUAGAUUUCGGUGAGAAAGAAACUUUUAUCUUUUCUUUCAGUUAAGGACUCUUAGGACUUCAAAUUUGUAAAAGAUGUGAAUAUUAGAACAAUGGCAAUAGAACCGCCAAUCCAUAUGCUUGUAAAUAGAUUUCAACAUAUAUCUAAAUACUAUUGCA
This is a non-coding RNA of Malus domestica (apple), 4786 nucleotides long. The record is from RefSeq and is a predicted model, not a curated record. Lineage: Eukaryota; Viridiplantae; Streptophyta; Magnoliopsida; Rosales; Rosaceae.